GAUCCUGGCUCAGGACGAACGCUGGCGGCGUGCCUAAUACAUGCAAGUAGAACGCUGAAGAGAGGAGCCUGCUCUUCUUGGAUGAGUUGCGAACGGGUGAGUAACGCGUAGGUAACCUGCCUUGUAGCGGGGGAUAACUAUUGGAAACGAUGCUAAUACCGCAUAACAAUGGGUGACACAUGUCAUUUAUUUGAAAGGGGGCAAUUGCUCCACUACAAGAUGGACCUGCGUUGUA
This 235-nucleotide ribosomal RNA is filed under the name uncultured bacterium. RNAcentral describes it as "partial 16S ribosomal RNA". It matches the Rfam family "Bacterial small subunit ribosomal RNA", at positions 15 to 240 of the family's 1533-position model. The record is from RNAcentral.